This is a long non-coding RNA of Arachis duranensis, 1203 nucleotides long. RefSeq lists it as uncharacterized. Lineage: Eukaryota; Viridiplantae; Streptophyta; Magnoliopsida; Fabales; Fabaceae. The transcript has 6 exons. The record is from RefSeq and is a predicted model, not a curated record.
UUAAAAUACAAAAUUAAAAUACCAAAUAAACCCAUUCUGUCAGCCACUGCUCCAACCCCCAACCUCAUCCUUCUCCUUCCUCCUUUAACUUUCACUUCGAUUCGUUAUCCUGAGUCUGUGCCUCGCAAUGCCGCGUCUGGAGAAAUCAAUGAAGCCGUCGCACGAAUGAGGCGGCGCCUCCAGGGAUUCGGACGAGCCCUCUGACAAUCUCUGGGUUGGGAAUCUAGUACCGGACGUAACCGAUGCCGAUCUGAUGACCUGUUCACGCAAUCCGGCGCCAUGGACAGUGUUACCUCUUACUCGGCGCGUAGCUACGCGUUCGUGUACUUCAACAAGGCUGCGAAGAAUGCUCUCCAAGGGUUCUCCCUGCACGGUAUAAAAUUAGGACAUGGAUUUGUUGUUGGAGAUGAAGGGUACAUGCAGGACAGUGACAUUCAGAAAGUUAAGCUUUCAAGGGGGCAUUGACACAGCUCUCCAAGUUAGUUGAGUGCAGAGUUAGUACAGGUCUCGAUACGAUCUUAAUACUAUUCUAUUCCUUUUGGAAUUGGGGCUGCUGCCAGGUUAGAUUAAACACUAUCUACCAUAAAUCUUCUGUUUGCAUAUCUAGAGGCUGUGGAUGGCAGCACCUUGGGCCUUUCAUAAAUCUAGGAGCAUUCUAUCUAUGUGGGAUUUCACUUGCUACAACAUUGGCAUUUUGGGUCAAAUUAAGAGGUAGAAAACUUUGGAUUGGGAGCCUUGGAGCAAUGAUUUAAGUUUCUCCAAGUCAUUUCUAGAUCACAGGCUCAAGCUGUGUAAUUAGUCACUACCACUUGCCUUGAGUUAUGUGUUUCUUGGUUCACCGUCGCCACUCAUUACUGCACUCACCAAUGUCGAAGAAACUGUGUGCUCUCUUCCGACCGCUUCUCUGCUCUGCUGUGAAGCAUCAAGGUUUCCGAUGAGUCAAAGCAUCGAUCCCUAACAAGCGAGCAGCCCCACUGGGAAUGAAUAAGGGAAUGAACACUGAUACAAUUGUUAAGGUCAAGAGUUUUCUUGAUGGUGAUGAAGAUUAGCAUGAAAAAGAUGUGUUUGAGAAGAAUCUAAAGGCGCUUCAGAACAUUUUUUAGUCAUUAUGCCAAGAUUAGAAGAUUAACGAUUUUCUGUUUGUUAAGCUCUUUUCGGAUAUAGAGUGCAAUCUUUGCAUUUUAAUUGAUAUGUGAUACAAGU